UACGGAGGGUGCAAGCGUUAUCCGGAUUCACUGGGUUUAAAGGGAGCGUAGGUGGCUUUGUAAGUCAGUGGUGAAAUCUUAGAGCUUAACCCUAAAACUGCCAUUGAUACUGCUUAGCUUGAAUCACGUCGAGGUGGAUGGAAUAUUACAUGUAGCGGUGAAAUGCUUAGAUAUGUAAUAGAACACCGAUUGCGAAGGCAGCUCACUACACGUAUAUUGACUCUGAGGCACGAAAGCGUGGGGAUCAAACAGG
Molecule: ribosomal RNA, 253 nt
Filed under: uncultured bacterium
Lineage: Bacteria
Description: partial 16S ribosomal RNA
Rfam family: Bacterial small subunit ribosomal RNA
Source: RNAcentral